AUUCGUUCCGCACGAAGCAUUUUGAUUGAUUUAUUAUUUAAAUUCAGUUCUAGCAAACAUGUACAACCACGUGUUGUUACAGUGCAUUGUGAUAUAUGUUGGUCUAGAUGUUAGUGCUGGGGCGCCAACUGUGCCAGUUAAGGACUAUUUGAGCGUACAGAGGCAAAUGAUGUCUCUUCUCCGAAUGAGACGGAACGAAACGCAGACUCAAACGGAAUAUCACAGAAACGGAACGGCGGCGGAACGAGACAGAAACGGAACAGAUUUCAGGCGACAAGCUGGAAACGCGAUGACCACUCCGCAGUUUGUUAUGACGUCAACAACAAGAAGAAGACGAACUACGCCAUUCCGUCUGAGCUUCAACGAAGAUUGUGACUACCUCGCCUACUACUGUUUGAGAGCGUAUAACACGGGUAAAUUAUGUGGUCGCACCUUGUACUACAUAUAUCACGACUUUCACAACUACUGCAUGUUGGAUUACGUCAAUUGCAUGGAAAGAUACGAAGUAUGGCAAGUCGUCCACAUGGGAGCAUGCUUCAAUAUCGAACCUCUUCAAGAAUACAAACGUAAGUAGACCAUUGGCCCCGAUGCCUGCAGACACCUCCUAAUUUUACUUUAAGUUAUACCUGUCAUUUUCUUAUCCGCCGAAAAGGAAAGGGACGGAUGAUUGACAGCUCUUAAUUUUAGGAAGAAUGAGUAAAUGAAUGAAUGACCCGGGCGAAUCAAAAAGGUACGUCGCUGGUAUGCAAUCCGUUUGACGUGCUGUCUACUUAACUGUGUCGGGUUAUUAACGGAUGUAAAAUUUUUAGACGGUUGGUUUAGAUUUGUGCUUAAAAUUGACGUGUGUUCCAUAAAUUUUAUGCUUGUCGAUUACCCGUCCCUUUCCUUUUCGGCGGAUAAGAAAAUGACAGAUAUAACUUAAAAUAAAAUUAGAUG
RNA transcript from Pectinophora gossypiella (pink bollworm), 936 nucleotides. RefSeq lists it as uncharacterized. The record is from RefSeq and is a predicted model, not a curated record. The transcript has 6 exons. NCBI's taxonomy places the organism in Eukaryota, Metazoa, Arthropoda, Insecta, Lepidoptera, Gelechiidae.